CGCCUUCGGUUGUCAACUUAUAAGUGUCACCACCGGGGAUGCUUCCAUCGCUUCGGAGUGAUUUUUAAAGGUGCGCAAGCAAAAAACAAGGGAAAAUUACGAUGGGAGCCUCUUCCAGCAACCCGAGGACCGUCACGAUCGAUAACGAUUCACCGGUGGGAGUCAUAGACAUUUCCGACGACGUCGUAAAUAGGCUCAAGUCCGGAAUGCCCCCGAAAGAAGGUACUAGACAGCAGCAGUCGAGUGCCCCAUCCGUUGGCGCUGGGCCAAGUUCUUACCCGAAUCCUCUGCCGCCGCCACCGACCGGUUUUUACGGAGAACCCUCGUUAACAUCGAUGCAAAUCCGUCGCGAGAAAGAACAGGAACUGCGAGCCAACGAUGUCUACUGGACAAAGCGACUGCAGACUCUCGAGGCCAACCUCCAGAAGACUAACCAGAUACUGGAGAAGGAAUAUAACGAUGCGAUUGCCGAUGUGAAGAAACGUUUUGAUAGCACUGCCGUGGCCCAUCAGCUGCCCCCGUGCCAGGAUCUAAAGGCCAAGGUGGUAGAGUGCUACAAAAAGAACCAGCAUGAAACGCUCAACUGUUCCGCGGACGUGCGAGCCUUCACCGACUGUGUUAACUUACACCGCAUUCAGCUGCUGAAGGAGAAAGCAUCCGGAUCCGAUAAACCGGCCAAGUAGUUUUGAGCGAAAUGCGCUGGAAAGUUAUCUGCAAAACAAAAACAUGCUGUACUAGUAAGUGUUUUCUACUUUUCGUGCUGGGACACAAUUUCUUGUAACUCCUGGAAACUAUCGUACCCCACGAUGCUCUUGCCGUGGCCGUCUUGUCCCCAGUACACACUUUUCGCGUCUCUUUCCGAAAGUCCCGUUUCGAGCACCUGCUUGCUGUUCCCUUCUUCUGGCUUGCGUUUGGUGAUGUUUUGUGCGGCUUCGUCCGGAAUCUGCUCCGGAGUUUUUGGUUGCUGCAGCACGGCGUUCCGCCGGACGAUGGUCGUCUUGACCAGGGAGCUCGGAUCGUCCACCGUUUCGUAGCUGUGCAGAUUGUUUCGCUCUUUUUGAGAGUUGUCUUCACCGUCACCACUGCUGCCGUUUCCGGCG
Culex pipiens pallens (northern house mosquito) is the source of this 1100-nucleotide RNA transcript. It is a transcript of the gene named MICOS complex subunit MIC19, with no coding region annotated. The record is from RefSeq and is a predicted model, not a curated record. NCBI's taxonomy places the organism in Eukaryota, Metazoa, Arthropoda, Insecta, Diptera, Culicidae. The transcript has 4 exons.